UGGGGAAUUUUGGACAAUGGGGGAAACCCUGAUCCAGCCAUCCCGCGUGUGCGAUGAAGGCCUUCGGGUUGUAAAGCACUUUUGGCAGGAAAGAAACGUCGCGGGUUAAUACCCCGCGAAACUGACGGUACCUGCAGAAUAAGCACCGGCUAACUACGUGCCAGCAGCCGCGGUAAUACGUAGGGUGCAAGCGUUAAUCGGAAUUACUGGGCGUAAAGCGUGCGCAGGCGGUUCAGAAAGAAAGAUGUGAAAUCCCAGAGCUUAACUUUGGAACUGCAUUUUUAACUACCGGGCUAGAGUGUGUCAGAGGGAGGUGGAAUUCCGCGUGUAGCAGUGAAAUGCGUAGAUAUGCGGAGGAACACCGAUGGCGAAGGCAGCCUCCUGGGAUAACACUGACGCUCAUGCACGAAAGCGUGGGGAGCAAACAGGAUUAGAUACCCUGGUAGUCCACGCCCUAAACGAUGUCAACUAGCUGUUGGGGCCUUCGGGCCUUGGUAGCGCAGCUAACGCGUGAAGUUGACCGCCUGGGGAGUACGGUCGCAAGAUUAAAACUCAAAGGAAUUGACGGGGUCAUAGCUGUUUCCUG
Molecule: ribosomal RNA, 586 nt
Filed under: uncultured bacterium
Lineage: Bacteria
Description: partial 16S ribosomal RNA
Rfam family: Bacterial small subunit ribosomal RNA
Source: RNAcentral